This 322-nucleotide ribosomal RNA is filed under the name uncultured eukaryote. RNAcentral's name for it is "partial 18S ribosomal RNA". It matches the Rfam family "Eukaryotic small subunit ribosomal RNA", at positions 1470 to 1796 of the family's 1831-position model. The record is from RNAcentral.
CCCUUAGAUGUUCUGGGCCGCACGCGUGCUACACUGAGUGGAUCAGCGGGUCAGGUUGCGCGAAAGCGUUUCCUAAUCUUUAAAUCCGCUCGUGAUGGGGAUUGACGGUUGCAAUUUUCUGUCAUGAACGAGGAAUACCUUGUAAGCGCGGGUCAUCAUCCCGCGCUGAAUACGUCCCUGCCCUUUGUACACACCGCCCGUCGCUCCUACCGAUUGAGUGGUCCGGUGAGGCUUUGGGAUCUGAGCGGAAAGAGCGUUUCGCUGUUUCUGCUCGGAAAACUCAGUCGAACCUUAUCAUCUAGAGGAAGGUGAAGUCGUAACA